RNAcentral lists this ribosomal RNA (484 nucleotides) under uncultured bacterium. RNAcentral describes it as "partial 16S ribosomal RNA". It matches the Rfam family "Bacterial small subunit ribosomal RNA", at positions 30 to 507 of the family's 1533-position model. The record is from RNAcentral.
AUUGAACGCUGGCGGCAGGCCUAACACAUGCAAGUCGAACGGAUGCACGGAGCUCGCCCCUGGAUCCAGCGGCGGACGGGUGAGUAAUGCCUAGGAACCUGCCUGGUAGUGGGGGAUAACGCCCGGAAACGGGCGCUAAUACCGCGUACGUCCUGAGGGUGAAAGCGGGGGACCUUCGGACCUCACGCUAUCAGAUGAGCCUAGGUCGGAUUAGCUAGUUGGUGGGGUAAAGGCCUACCAAGGCGACGAUCCGUAACUGGUCUGAGAGGAUGAUCAGUCACACUGGAACUGAGACACGGUCCAGACUCCUACGGGAGGCAGCAGUGGGGAAUAUUGGACAAUGGGCGCAAGCCUGAUCCAGCCAUGCCGCGUGUGUGAAGAAGGUCUUCGGAUUGUAAAGCGCUUUAGGUUGGGAAGAAGGGCAGUAAGUUAAUACCUCGGUGUGUUGACGUUACCGAAAGAAUAAGCACCGGCUAACUACGUG